AUUGAACGCUGGCGGCAGGCCUAACACAUGCAAGUCGAGCGGCGCGGCGGACGGGUGAGUACUGCCUAGGAAUCUGCCUGGUCGUGGGGGAUAACGUUCGGUAACGGGCGCUAAUACCGCUACCUAUCAGAUUCGCAUAGGUCGGAUUUGCUAGUGCGUGGGGUAAUGGCAUACCAAGGCGACGACCCGUAGCUGUUCUGAGAGGAUGAUCAGCCACACUGGAACUGAGACACGGUCCAGACUCCUACGGGAGGCAGCAGUGGGGAAUAUUGGACAAUGGGCGAAAGCCUGAUCCAGCCAUGCCGCGUGUAUGAAGAAGGUCUUCGGGUUGUAAAGCACUUUAAGUUGGGAGGCGUUACCAACAGAAUAAGCACCGGCUAACUUCGUGCCAGCAGCCGCGGUAAUUC
Molecule: ribosomal RNA, 407 nt
Filed under: uncultured bacterium
Lineage: Bacteria
Description: partial 16S ribosomal RNA
Rfam family: Bacterial small subunit ribosomal RNA
Source: RNAcentral